CCAUUCUUGUAGCACUGUGUCAUUGGGGGAGGAAGGUGCUCUCCCCUACUUGGGGUGUGGGGGAUGACGUCUACUUCUGCUUCCCCCCUCGGAGCCCUGGUGACCAUGUGCCUGUGGAGCAUCUCUGUGGGUCUGAGGCUGGGGUUUGCGCCUGGUUUGCUGGGCUUACAGAUCUGGGAACAGGGAGGUUUGGAAGCAUAGCUUGAGGCUUGCAGAUGAAUCAGACUCUAGCCUCCCCAUCUGCCGCCCAGGGGCUUCCUUUUCCUCUUCAGGAAGGAGCCCAGAAGGAGCAAAGAUACC
Molecule: long non-coding RNA, 300 nt
Filed under: Androctonus crassicauda
Lineage: Eukaryota; Metazoa; Arthropoda; Arachnida; Scorpiones; Buthidae
Source: RNAcentral